Molecule: transfer RNA, 75 nt
Filed under: Polyangiaceae bacterium
Lineage: Bacteria; Pseudomonadati; Myxococcota; Polyangiales; Polyangiaceae
Description: tRNA-Val
Rfam family: tRNA
About the family: Transfer RNA (tRNA) molecules are approximately 80 nucleotides in length. Their secondary structure includes four short double-helical elements and three loops (D, anti-codon, and T loops). Further hydrogen bonds mediate the characteristic L-shaped molecular structure. tRNAs have two regions of fundamental functional importance: the anti-codon, which is responsible for specific mRNA codon recognition, and the 3' end, to which the tRNAs corresponding amino acid is attached (by aminoacyl-tRNA synthetases). tRNAs cope with the degeneracy of the genetic code in two manners: having more than one tRNA (with a specific anti-codon) for a particular amino acid; and 'wobble' base-pairing, i.e. permitting non-standard base-pairing at the 3rd anti-codon position.
Source: RNAcentral
AGGCGCGUAGCUCAGUGGUAGAGCACUGCCUUGACAUGGCAGGGGUCACCAGUUCAACCCUGGUCGCGCCUACCA